UUAAACACUCCCUACAUCCUGU
Molecule: microRNA, 22 nt
Filed under: Drosophila sechellia
Lineage: Eukaryota; Metazoa; Arthropoda; Insecta; Diptera; Drosophilidae
Description: dse-miR-975-5p
Gene: dse-miR-975-5p
Source: miRBase by way of RNAcentral